AACGCAAAUUGCGCUCAAGGCCUCGGCCAAGAGCAUGUCUGCCUCAGCGUCGGCUACUACCCUCAACCAAGUUCCCUAGUAUCAUAGGGGAUGCCGGUUGGACUUGGCUGUCCAGUUUGCCUUUCAGGUGGCCGGUCAGCUGAAAAACAUUCACGCUUUGGGAGCUGCUUUCCUUUCACAGGAAAGACGAGUUCCGAUUUGGUAGGUGACCUUUGCCGGUUGCAUGCCUUCGUUGCCCGUUAAGCUCACCAGAAGCGAUGUGCAGGACGCCAUUUGGCUUUCGACCUGAGGUCAGGCAAGAACACCCGCUGAACUUAA
RNAcentral lists this unclassified non-coding RNA (318 nucleotides) under uncultured fungus. Its description in RNAcentral is "partial contains 5.8S ribosomal RNA, internal transcribed spacer 2, and large subunit ribosomal RNA". The record is from RNAcentral. Lineage: Eukaryota; Fungi.